GGAAGACUCGAAGCUCAAAAAGAACAGGUCGAGCUAGAGAGGAGGAGGAACAAGGGAGACACCAGCCAGCAGACAUGAGAAGCAAUGAAAGCAAGAUAUACAGAAAGAGAGAAAGGUAAAAAACCCAGAGGCAGGAGGCAGAUAAAGAGACACAGGUUAAUUUAAGAGAGCUGGCCAGAACAGAGCUAAGCUGAAGACGAGCAUUCAAAACUACUUUUUCUUUUGUGAUGGGAUUUCAUGAUAUAGACCAUGCUGGUCUGUAAUCUACAGUCAUCUUGCCACAGGCUCCAGAUGCUAGGACUACAGAGCCUAAAAUCAGCCAGAUGAUCCAGGAAACUCUGGGAGUCCUGAUUCGCUUCCAAAGGCAAUUUGUUCUUCAUUGCCUGCUGCAUGGAUUGCUGUUUCAAUUAAGGUUUUCCAUGUUUCACAUAAAAGCAUGCACAGAGACUUAAAGAAUCAAUUUCAGUAUCACGGGUUUAUACACACAAAUCACCUUGCUUUCCCUGGUUCUCUUUCUUUCUUCUCUCCCUGGCUCCACCCUAUCCCCCAAUUCCAUUAAUAUUCAUUUUAAAAUAAAACACUUUGAUGUGUAUGUU
RNAcentral lists this long non-coding RNA (596 nucleotides) under Cricetulus griseus (Chinese hamster). RNAcentral describes it as "lncRNA (ENSCGRG00015043436.1)". The record is from RNAcentral. Lineage: Eukaryota; Metazoa; Chordata; Mammalia; Rodentia; Cricetidae.